This 323-nucleotide signal recognition particle RNA is filed under the name Candidatus Bathyarchaeota archaeon. RNAcentral's name for it is "signal recognition particle sRNA". It matches the Rfam family "Archaeal signal recognition particle RNA". Lineage: Archaea; Thermoproteati; Candidatus Bathyarchaeota. The record is from RNAcentral.
CGGUGGUAGGGGAUCGGGGAGCUAGCCGUUCCCUGUAGCCCGAAAUCGGCUAUACGCGGGGAUCCGUCAACUUGGAGGCGAGGUGUUGCUGACCGACUGCAGGGCCCGGUUGCUGACGAUGAGGCUCUGACCUGCUGGGCUGACGGAGGAGAGGGUGCUUCUGAAGGGAGGUCUCCCAUCUCCUUGCCGCCGAACCUGAUGAGGCUCGGAAGAGAGCAAUCGUAAGGUGGACGGUUUGGCGCUGGCAGGAGAAACAGGGUCUAGGAUGCUGCUGGGAUUCCGCUGUUGUGAGGUGCACCAAUCCUCCUGGGAUGCUACCACCG